UUCGGUACAUCGGUGACAGGUGGUGCAUGGUUGUCGUCAGCUCGUGUCGUGAGAUGUUGGGUUAAGUCCCGCAACGAGCGCAACCCCUAUUGUUAGUUGCCAUCAUUCAGUUGGGCACUCUAGCGAGACUGCCGGUAAUAAACCGGAGGAAGGUGGGGAUGACGUCAAAUCAUCAUGCCCCUUAUGACCUGGGCUACACACGUGCUACAAUGGUUGGUACAACGAGUUGCGGGUCGGUGACGGCGAGCUAAUCUCUUAAAGCCAAUCUCAGUUCGGAUUGUAGGCUGCAACUCGCCUACAUGAAGUCGGAAUCGCUAGUAAUCGCGGAUCAGCACGCCGCGGUGAAUACGUUCCCGGGCCUU
RNAcentral lists this ribosomal RNA (362 nucleotides) under uncultured Streptococcus sp. RNAcentral's name for it is "bacterial SSU rRNA". It matches the Rfam family "Bacterial small subunit ribosomal RNA", at positions 1019 to 1382 of the family's 1533-position model. Lineage: Bacteria; Bacillati; Bacillota; Bacilli; Lactobacillales; Streptococcaceae. The record is from RNAcentral.